Phacochoerus africanus (Common warthog) is the source of this 654-nucleotide long non-coding RNA. RefSeq lists it as uncharacterized. NCBI's taxonomy places the organism in Eukaryota, Metazoa, Chordata, Mammalia, Artiodactyla, Suidae. The record is from RefSeq and is a predicted model, not a curated record. The transcript is spliced from 2 exons.
ACAGCCUCAGGCCAAGCCUUUCCCAUACAAGGCCCUGAGGAGUGCCAAAGGGGACAGGCGAGGGCUGAGGGCAGGGAGAGCCGGUUACUGCAGCACAGAGACAGGAGGGGCUGUUUUGCAGAUUCUGCUUCUCUUCAGGACUCAGCAUCAACGCUUGGCUCACAGACUCUCCAGGGGAGAAAACAAUUCAUUUGUAAUGGCCCCUUCAUCGCUUCUGAGUCUGUGCCUCUCAGUAGGUGCCUUGACUUCCGCUGGCCUCGGUGUCUUCGUUUGCCAACAAAACACCUCAACAUCCACCGUGUUUUCUGCUGUCAGAAAAGAAGUCUUCUAUGAACGGAAGGUGUUGGGCUUCAUGGCUCUUGGUUUGUGCAGCUCCCUAAUAUGGAUCUCCGGGGGGCCACCUCUGCACCAUCAGGGAUUUUUGCUGGUACACGUUCAGGUCUGCAUCUGGAUUGGACUGAGGGGUUGCAAGAACCUGGAUUUGCGUGCCAGGUGAAUAAUUAAGCACUUUGACAAUGGGAGGGAUGUUCAUGUUCUCAGAUAUCCAGCUUUUGCAAAGCGAGCUUUCCGCUGAAAGGAAAUUAUACCCUAUUGUGCAUGAGGCUUUCCGUCAGAGGCUCCCCCUGGCUUCUCUGCAUAAACCCUACAAAAAGC